Molecule: ribosomal RNA, 169 nt
Filed under: uncultured bacterium
Lineage: Bacteria
Description: partial 16S ribosomal RNA
Rfam family: Bacterial small subunit ribosomal RNA
Source: RNAcentral
GCUAGUAAUGGCAGGUCAGCAUACUGCCGUGAGUACGUUCCCGGGCCUUGUACACACCGCCCGUCACACCAUGAGAGUUGGGGAUACCCGAAGCCUGUGAGCUAACUAUUUAUAGGAGCAGCAGUCGAAGGUAGAAUCAAUGAUUGGGGUGAAGUCGUAACAAGGUAAC